UACGUAGGGAGCUAGCGUUGUCCGGAAUCAUUGGGCGUAAAGGGCGCGUAGGUGGUUCUGUAUGUCUAUCGUGAAAGCGUACGGCUCAACCGUAUUUUGUCGGUAGAAACUGCAGGACUUGAGGCUGGGAGGGGCUGGUGGAAUUCCCUGUGUAGCGGUGAAAUGCGUAGAGAUGGGGGAGAACACUCGUGGCGAAGGCGGCCAGCUAGACCAGUUCUGACACUGAGGCGCGACAGCGUGGGGAGCAAACAGG
Molecule: ribosomal RNA, 253 nt
Filed under: uncultured bacterium
Lineage: Bacteria
Description: partial 16S ribosomal RNA
Rfam family: Bacterial small subunit ribosomal RNA
Source: RNAcentral